GGUACAGCCAGUAAAUGUGCAUGUUUGAUUAUUGCCUUCUGGCCCUCCAGCUUUCUAAAGAACAGGACGUCCUUCAGAGGAAGAAAUGCUUUGCACAUGCUCAAGGGCAUGGCCCUUCCGUUGAUUGUUUUUAAAUACUGCUUGUCAUCCAAAGGAAAGGUGCCAAGGUUCCCAGGCAGCUAUCUAACAGAAGAGGAUUGUUUUGGCUACCGAUGUUCCACCGAGAAUCAGCCUUGGGAAACUACUGCUCUCCCUACUUCAAAGGCGUUGUUUUGGGAACCAUGGGGGGGGGAGGAGGGGCCCGCUGGGAUCUGUUACUCUGUACCUUAUGCCUUGCCUAUCAUUGGUAACAAUGCAUAUGCACCAUCCUGAAUAUUGCAUUCAGGCUAGUGGACUAUAAUGAACUAUUUCUUCAAUAAAUUCCUUUUGGAAACAA
Eublepharis macularius is the source of this 436-nucleotide long non-coding RNA. RefSeq lists it as uncharacterized. The transcript has 2 exons. The record is from RefSeq and is a predicted model, not a curated record. Lineage: Eukaryota; Metazoa; Chordata; Lepidosauria; Squamata; Eublepharidae.